GGGCCUAUAGCUUAGUGGCAGAGCACCCGGUUUGCAUCCGGGGGAUUGGAGUUCGAUUCUCCAUAGGUCCACCA
RNAcentral lists this transfer RNA (74 nucleotides) under Candidatus Azambacteria bacterium. RNAcentral describes it as "tRNA-Ala". It matches the Rfam family "tRNA". Rfam says of the family: Transfer RNA (tRNA) molecules are approximately 80 nucleotides in length. Their secondary structure includes four short double-helical elements and three loops (D, anti-codon, and T loops). The record is from RNAcentral. Lineage: Bacteria; Candidatus Azamiibacteriota.